RNAcentral lists this ribosomal RNA (509 nucleotides) under uncultured bacterium. RNAcentral describes it as "bacterial SSU rRNA". It matches the Rfam family "Bacterial small subunit ribosomal RNA", at positions 8 to 518 of the family's 1533-position model. The record is from RNAcentral.
AGAGUUGAUCUUGGCUCAGGAUGAACGCUGGCGGCGUGCCUAACACAUGCAAGUCGAGCGUGAACCCUUAGAAUGAAACUUCGGUCGAAUGAAGAGGGGGAAAGCGGCGGACGGGUGAGUAACGCGUAGGCAACCUGCCCCGUACAGAGGGAUAGCCUCGGGAAACCGGGAUUAAAACCUCAUAAUACCAUGGUAUCACAUGAUGCAAUGGUCAAAGAUUUAUCGGUAUGGGAUGGGCCUGCGUCUGAUUAGCUGGUUGGUGGGGUAACGGCCUACCAAGGCAACGAUCAGUAGCCGACCUGAGAGGGUAAUCGGCCACAUUGGAACUGAGACACGGUCCAAACUCCUACGGGAGGCAGCAGUGGGGAAUAUUGCACAAUGGGCGAAAGCCUGAAUGCAGCAACGCCGCGUGAGCGAAGAAGGCCUUUGGGUCGUAAAGCUCUGUCGGGAAGGAAGAUAAUGACGGUACUUCCCGAGGAAGCCCCGGCUAACUACGUGCCAGCAGCAGC